GAUGAAGAACGCAGCGAAAUGCGAUAAGUAAUGCGAAUUGCAGAAUUCAGUGAAUCAUCGAAUCUUUGAACGCACAUUGCGCCCGCUAGUAUUCUGGCGGGCAUGCCUGUCUGAGCGUCAUUUCAACCCUCGCCCCCGGCUUUUGCUGGGAGCGGUGUUGGGGAUCGGCCGCCCGUCACUGGGGGCCGGCCCCGAAAUAGAGUGGCGACCACGCCGUGUGCUCCUCUGCGUAGUAGUAAAUCACCUCGCAGGCGGACAGCGGUGCGGCCUGCCGUAAAACCCCCAACUCUUUCUGGUUGACCUCAGAUCAGGUAGGAAUACCCGCUGAACUUAAGCAUAUCAAUAAGCGGAGGA
Molecule: unclassified non-coding RNA, 354 nt
Filed under: soil metagenome
Description: partial contains 5.8S ribosomal RNA, internal transcribed spacer 2, and large subunit ribosomal RNA
Rfam family: 5.8S ribosomal RNA (bases 1-120)
Source: RNAcentral